GAUGAACGCUGGCGGCGUGCUUAACACAUGCAAGUCGAACGGUGAAGCUCCAGCUUGCUGGAGUGGAUCAGUGGCGAACGGGUGAGUAACACGUGAGCAACCUGCCCCUGACUCUGGGAUAACAGCCGGAAACGGCUGCUAAUACCGGAUAUGCACCAUGAACGCAUGUUCUGUGGUGGGAAAGAUUUUUCGGUUGGGGAUGGGCUCGCGGCCUAUCAGCUUGUUGGUGAGGUAAUGGCUCACCAAGGCGUCGACGGGUAGCCGGCCUGAGAGGGUGACCGGCCACACGGGAACUGAGACACGGCCAAGCCUCCUACGGGAGGCAGCAGUGGGGAAUAUUGCACAAGGGGCGAAGGCCUGAUGCAGCAACGCCGCGUGAGGAUGACGGCCUUCGGGUUGUAAACCUCUUUUAGCAGGGAAGAAGCGAGAGUGACGGUACCUGCAGAAAAAGCGCCGGCUAACUACGUG
RNAcentral lists this ribosomal RNA (468 nucleotides) under uncultured bacterium. Its description in RNAcentral is "partial 16S ribosomal RNA". It matches the Rfam family "Bacterial small subunit ribosomal RNA", at positions 28 to 507 of the family's 1533-position model. The record is from RNAcentral.